ACGGGAUUAGCUCAGUUGGUAGAGCACUGGUCUCCAAAACCAGGUGUCGGGCGUUCGAGCCGCUCAUCCCGUG
Molecule: transfer RNA, 73 nt
Filed under: Prevotella sp.
Lineage: Bacteria; Pseudomonadati; Bacteroidota; Bacteroidia; Bacteroidales; Prevotellaceae
Description: tRNA-Trp
Rfam family: tRNA
About the family: Transfer RNA (tRNA) molecules are approximately 80 nucleotides in length. Their secondary structure includes four short double-helical elements and three loops (D, anti-codon, and T loops).
Source: RNAcentral